Cavia porcellus (domestic guinea pig) is the source of this 3439-nucleotide long non-coding RNA. RefSeq lists it as uncharacterized. NCBI's taxonomy places the organism in Eukaryota, Metazoa, Chordata, Mammalia, Rodentia, Caviidae. The transcript is spliced from 3 exons. The record is from RefSeq and is a predicted model, not a curated record.
CCUCGAUCUCCCUCUGCAGGAUGUUGUGCUCAGCAACCUGCUGCUCCAGGUCCGCUAUGCCUGGCCCGUAUUGGCCCUCGCUGAUCUGCUUCUGCAGAAGAAUAGGCCACUCAGCCCUGCCUGAAGGACCCAGGCAGGGGCCCAGAGAUCCUUACAGAGCCUCCCUGCCUGCCCUCCCAGCAAUCCCAUCAGGAGAAGUCGAGUGGGCCAGCACGCAGGCCCAGUCGACCCGGGGCUCCACAUCCGGCGGCAGCACCAUCUUCUCAUACAAGGCUCGGUAAUCGGCACACUCCUGGGUCACCCGCUCAUGCAGCUGCUUGAUGCUGCCAGAGGAUUGACCUGCGGAUCAGGGAUGGGCCUCCAGGGACCUCCGUGCCUCCGUCCUGCGCCCCAGCCCACUUACUCUUUCUCAAUCUCCUCGGCCUGUGGGUGCCGGAGGCGCUUGGCCUUGUCCACAUCCAGGAAGAGAUCUUUGAGCAGCACCUCGGCCUCCUUCAGGUUGCGGCCGGUCUCCUGCUGGUGCUGCAGAGCCUGGCUCUGCUCACUGCUCAGCCGGUCCUAGGGGAAGGGACGCCGAGGCUCGCCAGGCCCGGGCCCCCAUCCUCCCUAUGUGCUGCUGCCGCCAGCCCAAGCCCAGCCCACCGCAGACCCGCGAGGCCCAGGGCUCGGCAUCGUGAAGCAGGUAGCAAGCGUGCAGAAGUCCAGGCCACGCUUCCUGCCCCAACGCAGGGAGUAGCAGAGCCGAGAAGGAAGGCCAAGCUCUGUCCCACCGCGUGUGGGGAGCAGACAAUGAAGAACCAGGGUGACUGGCCCCUUGUAGCAUCAUGGACACCCAGAUACAACACUGGGCCUCCCAUGCCACCUGGCCCGUCCCUGCUGCCUGCGCCUUACCUGCUGCAGCCUCUUCUGGGUCUCUAGGAUGUCCCUCUCCACCUGGUCAGCGUUGGCUUGCAUGCGGGAGAUAAGCAAGGCCAGCUCCUGUGUGGCAGCCCUGGGAGGUGGCAGAGCAUAGAGGGUCACACAGGGAGAGGCCCUUUGUGCCCCACCCAGAGGGAUCCGCUUCCUCCCACAACCAGGCUCUCUGCCCUGGACUCCUGGAUAGUCAGCCUUGGGACUGGGGUUCAGGAAGUGAGCCUCCCGAGUUGGGUCAUGAGGUGGCACAGAUGGCCUUGGGCUCCCAGCCUCAGCCAGCUGGCCCAGCAGUGAGUCCCACUCUGACCAGCUGCUCUGCUUCCUCAGGCUGGCAGGUGGCUGACCCCAGGAGCCAGUGAAUCAACAGCUCAGCCACCAAUGGCUGAGCCUGCUGGCUGGGCCCAGGAGAGGCGGUAAAGCUGCCAGGGACAGAGAGCGGCGGAGCAGCCCCUGCCCUGGUGGUCUCUCCCGUCACCCUCAAAUAGCUUUGCCUUUGUCAGGCCACACAGUGUUAGAGAAGGAAUCAAAAGAUGGUUUGGUGCCAGGUGUGGUAGUGCAUACCGGUAAUCCCAACACUCAGGAGGCUGAGGCAGGAGGAUUGCCUCAAGUUUGAGGCCAGCCUGGGCUACACAGCAAAACUAUCUCAAAAUAUAAAAAACAGGGGCUGGGGAUUUAGCUCAGCGGCAUAAGCGCCUGCCUUGCAAGCAGGCAGUCGUGAGUUCGAUCCCUGGUACCGAUAAAAAGGAAAAAGACAAAAAAAAAAAAAAAAAAAAUUAAAAUAUAAAAAACAGCAGCUGGGGAUUUAGCUCAGUGGCAUAAGCACCUGCCUUGCAAGCAGGCAGUUGUGAGUUUGAUCCCUGGUACCGAUAAAAAGGAAAAAGACAAAUAAAUAAAUAAAAAUAAAAAACAGAGGGGGUACCCCACUAUUCAGAUUCAGGGACCUGAAGUCCAGAUGGGGCCCGACUCGUCCUGGGUCUCACAGGGACAGAGGUGUGCAGAGCCUGCUGCUGCAUGAGCCCAGGACUCUUUUCCCUCAUGGAGUGCUGCUGUUGGUCACACUCUCUGAGGGUCGAGGGGGCCAUGCAGACCUAAAAAAGGCAAAGUGGUCCAAGCUUGAGGGGCAUGGUACUGUUAGGGUCACAGCUCUAGAAGAGGGGGGCCUUCAGGAUGCAGUAAACUUGGUCAAGUGACAGCAUCCCCAGGCAGGGGCCGAUGCCAGCACAGACACAGCAGUCUGAAAAGGACUGUGGUCCAGAGGUCCUGGGUUUGGCCCUUCUCUAUCACCGCUGCUGGGUAAUGCCAGACAAAUCAGACACAUCUCUGUGCCUAAGGUUUCUUACUUAUCAAAUGGGGCUUGGUUUAUCUUGGGUUUUUGAGACAGGGUCUCACUUUGUGGUCUAGGCUCACUUCAAUCUCAUAGCAAUCCUCCUGCCUAAGCCACCAAGAGUGCUGGGAUUACAGACGUGUACCACUACACCCAGCAAAGUGGGGUUUUACUGGUAUCUUCUUCAGAGCCCGUUGGAAGCCUCAAGUGCAGUUAGUGCUCAGCACUUGGUGGUAGUUUGUUCUGCAGAGGGUGAGCACCUCGAAGGCAGGGCCUGGAGGUUCUGUUUCCGGUGGCAUCUCCAGCACCAGGGAGCACUCACAGGGAGCACCACCCACUGUGAGUGCUCGGGGAAGCAGGAGCCCUCUCUGGGGUGCUGCAGAUGGAGCUGCCCCAGGGCAGCAGGCACAGCAGCCUGCCUGGACUGGGCUGGUCUCAAGUGACCCGGAAAGGAUAGGUCACUCCAGUGAGAGUCUUAACUGCUGUCUUUCCUGUCUUCCCAGAAACCCAGCCUGUGUGCACCCUGAUCCCUAUCGGGGUAAUGGGCGCCCCACCCCAGCCUUUCAUCUCUGCUCUUAUCUUGACACCCUGACACCCUCGAGAAGGGUGGGCAGUCACCUCCUCCUGCCAAGAGGCUGAAGGCGUAAGCUGGAAGAAGGCGGCCUGGUCUGUGUGCAGAGAGAGCCACGGCGCCCCCUCCACACCGCGGUGCAAAGGAACUCCAGCUCUUACCACCCGCCACAGGCCAGGAUGAGAACUUGGGAAAACUGCUUGGGGUGGAGGUAACAGAGUCACAGCGGCCACCUCCCUCUCACCUUCCACCUCCUGGGCCUGCCUACCUUCACCCAGGCUGAAGAUGGUCCCAGCCAAGCGGAGCCUUGAGAGCAGAGCCCUGGACAAGAGCCAGGUCCAGCAGCCUGUGGGCCUCUCCCCCCACCUCUCCUGCAGAGAGGCCUCCAGGAGUGGCCCUCAGGAGCCAUGGCCAUCAUCCGCUUCCUGCCAGGGCUGGAGCAUAGCCUGGGCCAGAGGCUCCUGAGAAAAAACAAAAGGAGAAAGAGGAGGAGAAGAAGAAGAGGAAGAAGAAGAAAAAAAAGAAGACGAAGAAGAAGAAAGAUAGAUAUGGGUCCAAUUUUAAUCUUUGGCAUAUGUAGAGCCAGUUUUUCCAACACCAUUUAUUAAAGAGGCUGUCUUUCUUCCAGUGAA